AGCGAACGCUGGCGGCAGGCUUAACACAUGCAAGUCGAGCGGGCAUCCUUGUGGUGUCAGCGGCAGACGGGUGAGUAACGCGUGGGAACGUGCCCUUCGGUUCGGAAUAACUCAGGGAAACUUGAGCUAAUACCGGAUACGUGCGAGAGCAGAAAGGUUUAUCUGCCGAAGGAUCGGCCCGCGUCUGAUUAGCUAGUUGGUGAGGUUAUGGCUCACCAAGGCGACGAUCAGUAGCUGGUCUGAGAGGAUGAUCAGCCACACUGGGACUGAGACACGGCCCAGACGCCUACGGGAGGCAGCAGUGGGGAAUAUAGGAGAAGGGGGCAAACCUGAUCCAGCCAUGCCGCGUGAGUGAUGACGGCCUUAGGGUUGUAAAGCUCUUUUCGCCGGGACGAUAAUGACGGUACCGGAGGAAUAAGCACCGGCUAACUUCGUG
This 436-nucleotide ribosomal RNA is filed under the name uncultured bacterium. RNAcentral's name for it is "partial 16S ribosomal RNA". It matches the Rfam family "Bacterial small subunit ribosomal RNA", at positions 29 to 507 of the family's 1533-position model. The record is from RNAcentral.